RNAcentral lists this small RNA (119 nucleotides) under Mycobacterium pseudokansasii. RNAcentral describes it as "Actinobacteria sRNA Ms_IGR-7". It matches the Rfam family "Actinobacteria sRNA Ms_IGR-7". The record is from Rfam by way of RNAcentral. Lineage: Bacteria; Bacillati; Actinomycetota; Actinomycetes; Mycobacteriales; Mycobacteriaceae.
UGGAAGUCCACUUCCUCGAUAUGGGUUGGUUAAUUCCUGAAGACCAUCAAUCAUCGCAGCUCAGAGGACACUUUCCCAUUCCCACACCCACCACGGCGCCUAUUUAUCCGUGGAUUGAG